Odocoileus virginianus texanus is the source of this 449-nucleotide non-coding RNA. The record is from RefSeq and is a predicted model, not a curated record. Lineage: Eukaryota; Metazoa; Chordata; Mammalia; Artiodactyla; Cervidae.
CUGACGCUAAUAUGUCUUUGCCAUCAUGUAGCUGACUUACUACGAAUUCCACGUGCAGUUGUUUCAUUUAAAGCAAGCUACAAAAGCGGCCAGAAGUGACUUGGCCUAGAUGUUAGGGCUGACUUCUCUGAUGUCCAUCAGUCCUGUUGUGGAUGCACGGAUCCCCUUCUACCAAGUCAAAGCUGCCUAUUUGCUAUACUUACCUCAGGUGCAACACAUCCAGUCAUGAGAAAAGUGUGCCGUAUUCAGGUUCUGAGUGGACCCUGCUCAGAGGAAUGUCACUCUGCAGUUCUCAAGCGUUUAUUUGUUAUUGGUUAUACCCAAGAAAUGGAAGUAAACCACGAGAUGAAUAUGAUCUACAUACUCAGAAGUUUGCAGACAAAAGGUGUAAUUGUCUGGAUUUGUUGACAAGCAUAUGCUAUUUCUUUCCUUUUUAGCAGCAGAAGUCU